ACUCCUACGGGAGGCAGCAGUGGGGAAUAUUGGACAAUGGGCGCAAGCCUGAUCCAGCCAUGCCGCGUGAGUGAUGAAGGCCCUAGGGUUGUAAAGCUCUUUCACCGGUGAAGAUAAUGACGGUAACCGGAGAAGAAGCCCCGGCUAACUUCGUGCCAGCAGCCGCGGUAAUACGAAGGGGGCUAGCGUUGUUCGGAUUUACUGGGCGUAAAGCGCACGUAGGCGGACUAUUAAGUCAGGGGUGAAAUCCCGGGGCUCAACCCCGGAACUGCCUUUGAUACUGGUAGUCUUGAGUUCGAGAGAGGUGAGUGGAAUUCCGAGUGUAGAGGUGAAAUUCGUAGAUAUUCGGAGGAACACCAGUGGCGAAGGCGGCUCACUGGCUCGAUACUGACGCUGAGGUGCGAAAGCGUGGGGAGCAAACAUGAUUAGAAACCCGAGUAGUCC
Molecule: ribosomal RNA, 444 nt
Filed under: uncultured organism
Description: partial 16S ribosomal RNA
Rfam family: Bacterial small subunit ribosomal RNA
Source: RNAcentral